This is a long non-coding RNA of Capsicum annuum, 599 nucleotides long. RefSeq lists it as uncharacterized. The record is from RefSeq and is a predicted model, not a curated record. The transcript has 4 exons. NCBI's taxonomy places the organism in Eukaryota, Viridiplantae, Streptophyta, Magnoliopsida, Solanales, Solanaceae.
GAAGUUUACGGGUGGCAUGCCACCCCACGAUAAUGAAUAGAUCCGGCCUUGAUUUUGAGCUUACAAUUAUUUGGGAAGAGGAAGAAGAAAAGAACCUGAAGCCUGUACAGCUGCAUCGUUGAAGCGCUUGCUUGGCAUAGGAGGAUAUUUUCGUCCUUUAAGCUUCCAGUUUUGCUAUAUGAUACUCCACCGCCUCAUCCAUUUUCUCAACUCCAGCUGAAAGAGUCAAAGCUAAAAUGAAACUUCAACUUUCAGAAAGUGGAUGCCCGAGCUGCUGGUAUCGAACUUCUGCUAGGAAAAUUCCCAGAGUUUGUUGCAAGGACUUAUCAUCAACCACCGCACCACACGAUGUUGGAAGUUCUUCAGACAUUCGGAAAAUUAGUGAUUGUUUAGGGGCUGAGUUACUCUCAGAAACUGUAACAACCUUCUGGUUCUACUGCCACACGUUGUUGUUAUUUGCACAAUCUUCUUUGCAAGCAUUAACCAUGCGAUCGAUUUCAUUCGACUUUCUACAUAUACCAGAAUAUCUAUCGCCGUGGCAAUUAUAACAGUAUUGAUGUCCCUAAGAAAUUACAAUAAUUUAAACUUUUUGCUAUUAA